CGCCUGUUUUACAAAAACAUUUUCUUUAGAUUUUAUUAAAGAUAAGGCCUGCUCAAUGAGAUUUAAAUGGCCGCAGUAUAAUGACUGUGCUAAGGUAGCAUAAUAAUUUGCCUUUUAAUUGGGGGCUGGAAUGAAAGGUUUUAUGGAAAAUAGCUGUUUUAAAAUAAAUAAUUGAAUUUAAGUUUUGCAUAAAAACUUGCAAACGUUCUUAAGGGACGAGAAGACCCUGUGGAUUUUUAUUUGUUAGACAAUAAACUUUAUAAUAUUUUAUUUUUUAGCCAAAUUUGGUUGGGAUGACAGCAAAAUUAACUUUGUUAAAAAAUUAAUACAGAUCCUUUUUAAGGAAAAGAACAAAUUACCCCAGGGAUAACAGCGUAAUACUUUUGGACAGGACAAAUGGAUAAAAGUGUUUGCGACCUCGAUGUUGAAUUAAAAUAUCUUUAUUAAGCAUAAAUAAUAAAAGUAAGUCUGUUCGACUUUUAAAAUUUUACGUGAUCUGAGUUCAGACCGGA
This 512-nucleotide ribosomal RNA is filed under the name Candona godlewski. Its description in RNAcentral is "LSU rRNA". It matches the Rfam family "Archaeal large subunit ribosomal RNA", at positions 1889 to 2689 of the family's 2987-position model. Lineage: Eukaryota; Metazoa; Arthropoda; Ostracoda; Podocopida; Candonidae. The record is from RNAcentral.